Molecule: unclassified non-coding RNA, 337 nt
Filed under: soil metagenome
Description: partial contains 5.8S ribosomal RNA, internal transcribed spacer 2, and large subunit ribosomal RNA
Rfam family: 5.8S ribosomal RNA (bases 1-120)
Source: RNAcentral
GAUGAAGAACGCAGCGAAAUGCGAUAAGUAAUGUGAAUUGCAGAAUUCAGUGAAUCAUCGAAUCUUUGAACGCACAUUGCGCCCGGUAGUAUUCUGCCGGGCAUGCCUGUUCGAGCGUCAUUUCAACCAUCAAGCCCCAGCGCUUGUGUUGGGGGCCUGCGGCUGCCGCAGCCCCCUAAAAGCGGUGGCGGGCUCGCUAUCACACCGAGUGCAGUAGUUCAUCUUCUCUCCGGUCUUGUGAGGCGGGUUCCGGCCGUGAAACACCCCACUACAUUCAAGGUUGACCUCGGAUCAGGUAGGAAUACCCGCUGAACUUAAGCAUACAAUAAGCGGAGGA